Molecule: ribosomal RNA, 253 nt
Filed under: uncultured bacterium
Lineage: Bacteria
Description: partial 16S ribosomal RNA
Rfam family: Bacterial small subunit ribosomal RNA
Source: RNAcentral
GACAGAGGGGGCAAGCGUUGCUCGGAAUUACUGGGCGUAAAGGGCGCGUAGGCGGGAUGGCAAGUCGGUCGUGAAAUCCCUCGGCUCAACUGAGGAUCGUCGAUUGAUACUGCCGUUCUUGAGGAUUGCAGAGGAGACUGGAAUUCCCGGUGUAGCGGUGAAAUGUGUAGAGAUCGGGAGGAACACCGGUGGCGAAGGCGGGUCUCUGGGCAAUUCCUGACGCUGAGGCGCGAAAGCGUGGGGAGCAAACGGG